This 467-nucleotide long non-coding RNA is filed under the name Monodelphis domestica (gray short-tailed opossum). Its description in RNAcentral is "lncRNA (ENSMODG00000043236.1)". The record is from RNAcentral. Lineage: Eukaryota; Metazoa; Chordata; Mammalia; Didelphimorphia; Didelphidae.
GUCCUUCAUAUUUCACAAGCUACAAACAUCUUUAUUUCUUUCCCUCCCUAAGAAUCAAUCUCUCUCUCAUAUUCAAGCAUAGAUGGUAUAUAAUUAAGCCUAAAUCUUAUUCCCAUACUUUGUUUAUAUUUGUCAUAAUGCAAUGUGCAUAAGUGUAGUGGAGAUGAUUUAAACAGCUAGAAAGGUUGGUCUUAGAAAGAUGGGAAGAAUCAUUGUUGGAGGUGAAAUGAAAAGAUGGGCACACUAUUGGAUUGUUGGAAUUAUGUAUUAGCAUAAUCCUUCUGGAACUUCUCCCUAAAGAGAAUCUAGAGCUAUGUGUCUUCUUUCUGGAAGCUAGAGGCCAAAAGACACUUCUCUCAACAUUCUGCCAACUCUGCAUCUCAUGCAGGCUUAGGGAAUUAAGUACCAAUCUCUACCAAUGAAGAGAAAUGUACACAUGUGGGCUUUGAUAAGUGGAUUACAUCAGU